Molecule: ribosomal RNA, 2922 nt
Filed under: Klebsiella pneumoniae
Lineage: Bacteria; Pseudomonadati; Pseudomonadota; Gammaproteobacteria; Enterobacterales; Enterobacteriaceae
Description: 23S ribosomal RNA
Rfam family: Bacterial large subunit ribosomal RNA
Source: RNAcentral
GGGUUGUGAGGUUAAGCGACUAAGCGUACACGGUGGAUGCCCUGGCAGUCAGAGGCGAUGAAGGACGUGCUAAUCUGCGAAAAGCGUCGGUAAGGUGAUAUGAACCGUUAUAACCGGCGAUGUCCGAAUGGGGAAACCCAGUGCAAUUCGUUGCACUAUCGUUAACUGAAUACAUAGGUUAACGAGGCGAACCGGGGGAACUGAAACAUCUAAGUACCCCGAGGAAAAGAAAUCAACCGAGAUUCCCCCAGUAGCGGCGAGCGAACGGGGAGCAGCCCAGAGUCUGAAUCAGCUUGUGUGUUAGUGGAACGGUCUGGAAAGUCCGACGGUACAGGGUGAUAGUCCCGUACACCAAAAUGCACAGGUUGUGAACUCGAAGAGUAGGGCGGGACACGUGGUAUCCUGUCUGAAUAUGGGGGGACCAUCCUCCAAGGCUAAAUACUCCUGACUGACCGAUAGUGAACCAGUACCGUGAGGGAAAGGCGAAAAGAACCCCGGCGAGGGGAGUGAAAAAGAACCUGAAACCGUGUACGUACAAGCAGUGGGAGCACCUUCGGGUGUGACUGCGUACCUUUUGUAUAAUGGGUCAGCGACUUAUAUUCUGUAGCAAGGUUAACCGUAUAGGGGAGCCGCAGGGAAACCGAGUCUUAACUGGGCGUUAAGUUGCAGGGUAUAGACCCGAAACCCGGUGAUCUAGCCAUGGGCAGGUUGAAGGUUGGGUAACACUAACUGGAGGACCGAACCGACUAAUGUUGAAAAAUUAGCGGAUGACUUGUGGCUGGGGGUGAAAGGCCAAUCAAACCGGGAGAUAGCUGGUUCUCCCCGAAAGCUAUUUAGGUAGCGCCUCGUGAACUCAUCUUCGGGGGUAGAGCACUGUUUCGGCUAGGGGGUCAUCCCGACUUACCAACCCGAUGCAAACUACGAAUACCGAAGAAUGUUAUCACGGGAGACACACGGCGGGUGCUAACGUCCGUCGUGAAGAGGGAAACAACCCAGACCGCCAGCUAAGGUCCCAAAGUCAUGGUUAAGUGGGAAACGAUGUGGGAAGGCACAGACAGCCAGGAUGUUGGCUUAGAAGCAGCCAUCAUUUAAAGAAAGCGUAAUAGCUCACUGGUCGAGUCGGCCUGCGCGGAAGAUGUAACGGGGCUAAACCAUGCACCGAAGCUGCGGCAGCGACACUAUGUGUUGUUGGGUAGGGGAGCGUUCUGUAAGCCUGCGAAGGUGACCUGUGAGGGUUGCUGGAGGUAUCAGAAGUGCGAAUGCUGACAUAAGUAACGAUAAAGCGGGUGAAAAGCCCGCUCGCCGGAAGACCAAGGGUUCCUGUCCAACGUUAAUCGGGGCAGGGUGAGUCGACCCCUAAGGCGAGGCCGAAAGGCGUAGUCGAUGGGAAACAGGUUAAUAUUCCUGUACUUGGUGUUACUGCGAAGGGGGACGGAGAAGGCUAUGUUAGCCGGGCGACGGUUGUCCCGGUUUAAGCAUGUAGGCUGGUUAUCCAGGCAAAUCCGGAUAAUCAAGGCUGAGGUGUGAUGACGAGGCACUACGGUGCUGAAGUAACAAAUGCCCUGCUUCCAGGAAAAGCCUCUAAGCAUCAGGUAACAUCAAAUCGUACCCCAAACCGACACAGGUGGUCAGGUAGAGAAUACCAAGGCGCUUGAGAGAACUCGGGUGAAGGAACUAGGCAAAAUGGUGCCGUAACUUCGGGAGAAGGCACGCUGGUGUGUAGGUGAAGUCCCUGCGGAUGGAGCUGAGACCAGUCGAAGAUACCAGCUGGCUGCAACUGUUUAUUAAAAACACAGCACUGUGCAAACACGAAAGUGGACGUAUACGGUGUGACGCCUGCCCGGUGCCGGAAGGUUAAUUGAUGGGGUUAUCCGUAAGGAGAAGCUCUUGAUCGAAGCCCCGGUAAACGGCGGCCGUAACUAUAACGGUCCUAAGGUAGCGAAAUUCCUUGUCGGGUAAGUUCCGACCUGCACGAAUGGCGUAAUGAUGGCCAGGCUGUCUCCACCCGAGACUCAGUGAAAUUGAACUCGCUGUGAAGAUGCAGUGUACCCGCGGCAAGACGGAAAGACCCCGUGAACCUUUACUAUAGCUUGACACUGAACAUUGAGCCUUGAUGUGUAGGAUAGGUGGGAGGCUUUGAAGCGUGGACGCCAGUCUGCGUGGAGCCAACCUUGAAAUACCACCCUUUAAUGUUUGAUGUUCUAACGUUGGCCCCUGACCGGGGUUGCGGACAGUGUCUGGUGGGUAGUUUGACUGGGGCGGUCUCCUCCCAAAGCGUAACGGAGGAGCACGAAGGUUAGCUAAUCCUGGUCGGACAUCAGGAGGUUAGUGCAAUGGCAUAAGCUAGCUUGACUGCGAGCGUGACGGCGCGAGCAGGUGCGAAAGCAGGUCAUAGUGAUCCGGUGGUUCUGAAUGGAAGGGCCAUCGCUCAACGGAUAAAAGGUACUCCGGGGAUAACAGGCUGAUACCGCCCAAGAGUUCAUAUCGACGGCGGUGUUUGGCACCUCGAUGUCGGCUCAUCACAUCCUGGGGCUGAAGUAGGUCCCAAGGGUAUGGCUGUUCGCCAUUUAAAGUGGUACGCGAGCUGGGUUUAGAACGUCGUGAGACAGUUCGGUCCCUAUCUGCCGUGGGCGCUGGAGAAUUGAGGGGGGCUGCUCCUAGUACGAGAGGACCGGAGUGGACGCAUCACUGGUGUUCGGGUUGUCAUGCCAAUGGCACUGCCCGGUAGCUAAAUGCGGAAGAGAUAAGUGCUGAAAGCAUCUAAGCACGAAACUUGCCCCGAGAUGAGUUCUCCCUGAGACUUUAAGUCUCCUGAAGGAACGUUAAAGACGAUGACGUUGAUAGGCCGGGUGUGUAAGCGCAGCGAUGCGUUGAGCUAACCGGUACUAAUGAACCGUGAGGCUUAACCUUACAACGCCGAAG